GUGCUCGCUUUAGCAGCACGGGUGCUAAAACUGGAAUGAUAGAGAUUAGCAUGGCCCCAGCACAAGGAUGACACACAGACUCAUGAGGCAGUCUAUAUUUUU
This is a small nuclear RNA of Myotis daubentonii (Daubenton's bat), 102 nucleotides long. The record is from RefSeq and is a predicted model, not a curated record. NCBI's taxonomy places the organism in Eukaryota, Metazoa, Chordata, Mammalia, Chiroptera, Vespertilionidae.